UUGGUGCACUGAUUUCAGAUGGUUGUAAUGGAGCUAAAAUAAUCUUCUUUUCAUUCACCUUAAAAGAAUAAGUAUGUUUGUAGCCGUCAUACAACACCCUUCUAUCAUAAUGCCAAGGUCUUCCCAAUAGUAAAUGACAAGCAUCCAUAGGAGCAACAUCACACCAUACUUCAUCUUUAUAAUACUUGCCAAUAGAAAAUGAAACUAAACAUCUUUUAGUUACAUUGAUG
This 230-nucleotide long non-coding RNA is filed under the name Musa acuminata (dwarf banana). RNAcentral's name for it is "long non-coding RNA (MACU_LNC011665)". The record is from RNAcentral. Lineage: Eukaryota; Viridiplantae; Streptophyta; Magnoliopsida; Zingiberales; Musaceae.